GGUUGUCAGACUUGCCACCACACAUCAUGUUUCCAAAACUACAUAGUUUCACUUAUCAAUAUUUUUAGAGUUGAAAGUAAACGGAAAUGAAAAUGCAGUAACCAGCGCGUUCGGUCUUACAAAAUAUCCUAAGUUACUAAACAAAAAAAGCAACUAUAAUUUUCUACAAACUCAAAUUUGGUUGAUAAUGUUUUACAUUAUUUGCAUGCAUCGAGUGUAUAUAAAGCGAGAGUCAAUAUUUUACGUGUUUUAUCUUUUUAAGCAUCUUGUGCGUUCAAUGUACCACAUUUUUUAGGGUUCCAUACUCAAAGGGAAAACUGGACGCUAUUAGAAAACUUUGCUGUCCGUUUUCUUUAGCUUUUUAUAAAUUACCUAACAGAACCCAGUCGAUUUUUUAAUUAUGCUGUGUGUUAGUAUAACACUUUUUCUUUCAAUAAACGGCUGUCAUGUUACAUGUAUUUAUUUGUACCAAGAAUGCAAUUCUUAACUAUUAGCGUGACACCUUUCAACAUAACAAUAGACUUUAGAAUAAUUCAUAAAAAAGCAUUUGUUCCUAUUGUUUAUUUCCUAUUUAAUCUGUGGCUUUCUGCAAAAAAAUCCUUUUGAAAAUCAGUGGUCCUAUUAGAGAGUGUGAAGUGUUAGUGUGUGUCUAACUAAUACAUUUUGUUCGAUCACAUAUUUAAUGGGCGAGUUACUAAAUUGCGUCUUUACUUCUAAAGAAUGUGUAUGUGUAAUCAUUAUUGUAAAAAGUACUAUUUGAAAAUGUGUUUUUUUUUAGCAAAUAAAAAGUCGAUGGUUAAGUGUUAUUGAUCGGGAGUGGAUAGUGCUAAAAUACGUGCUUAUAAUAUAUCCACGCUAAAAGCCAUCUAGGGCACUGACUUAUAACUAUAGGGACUGGAAAUACCUACGAAAAAAACGUGCAUACCUACAAUCUGCAGUAAGCAACUAAAAUGGCUGCCAUUGCUAGGGUUGUACCGCAACAGGAUUCAACAAGUAUCGAUAUCGUAUUCUAGUUACGAGUACGUACGAGUCUUACUGGGUGCAGAAAUAUAACAGAGUACAAUUAAUUCGUUCGUCACAGAACUAUCACAUUAGCUUAACUGAUAACAAUAAUACUCAAUCGUAUCGUACUCAAUAACUUUACUGCAUACCAUAAUGUGUACAAGCUGGUGGGUAAAAUUAAAAGAGACAUUGAACAAAGUUAUUCAUUUCUAAACAAUAUUUAUAAGCUUAUUAAAAAACUGUCUAUGAGACAGUUUUUCAGUUCUUCUACAACCGCAGUAUCUAAUCUUAUAUUUAAAAAUGUUUUAAUUAUUGACUUAUUUAAAAGUAACUUAUGGUCAGUAUUGUGAUUGGGAUCACAGUCAAAAAAAGUAUUAAUUUCAUAAAAUUCACACAUAAAUUUAAAAAUGUAUAAAUAAUACACUUCAGAUUUAAUUUUACAAUCUAAAUGAGUUUCAACGAGUUUCUCUGUCUUUUUAAUGAUUUCUAUGACGCUACAAGAGGCAUAUUUCAGCCUUCCUCUUGAUUUUACAUAAAUGAGGCUAUUGAUGUCUUCCUCCCCAAUUAAUAAUGAAACACAAACGUUCAGUCUGCUUCUUCCUUCUUCUUUCGGCUGAAACAAACUCCUUUGGUUUUAUAUUUUCAUGGGAUAAUGGCAAUGGGAACACAUCAGUUGAUGUGGCAGUAUCCUUAUGCUUUCUGAUGUUAGUAAUUUCAUGUAAAACCAACGACUCCUGGGGACCUUCUUUGGGUGUCUGA
RNAcentral lists this long non-coding RNA (1761 nucleotides) under Helicoverpa zea (corn earworm). RNAcentral describes it as "uncharacterized LOC124642548". Lineage: Eukaryota; Metazoa; Arthropoda; Insecta; Lepidoptera; Noctuidae. The record is from RNAcentral.